Molecule: ribosomal RNA, 460 nt
Filed under: uncultured bacterium
Lineage: Bacteria
Description: partial 16S ribosomal RNA
Rfam family: Bacterial small subunit ribosomal RNA
Source: RNAcentral
CCUACGGGAGGCAGCAGUGAGGAAUAUUGGUCAAUGGACGCAAGUCUGAACCAGCCAUGCCGCGUGCAGGAAGACGGCUCUAUGAGUUGUAAACUGCUUUUGUACGAGGGUAAACGCAGAUACGCGUAUCUGUCUGAAAGUAUCGUACGAAUAAGGAUCGGCUAACUCCGUGCCAGCAGCCGCGGUAAUACGGAGGAUUCAAGCGUUAUCCGGAUUUAUUGGGUUUAAAGGGUGCGUAGGCGGUCGGAUAAGUUAGAGGUGAAAUCCCGAGGCUCAACUUCGGAAGUGCCUCUGAUACUGUUCGGCGAGAGAGUAGUUGCGGUAGGCGGAAUGUAUGGUGUAGCGGUGAAAUGCUUAGAGAUCAUACAGAACACCGAUUGCGAAGGCAGCUUACCAAGCUACUUCUGACGUUGAGGCACGAAAGCGUUGGGAGCAAACAGGAUUAGAUACCCGGGUAGUC